GACAUCUUACAUCACCAACAUAGUACAUUGCUCCUCCAUGUAUACAUCGAGAAAUGCCCUGCACUCACUGCUGGUCCUACCCAUCGAGAGGUACAUCAUAACGUACACCAUUUAAUUUAAAGGAUCCCACGCAGACUACACAUAAGUAAACAAAGCCUUGCGUAAUGUACCAUGAUAGCUAUAGUGUUAGGAAUAUAAACAUGUAUUGUUGACACUAUACUGUUUAACUAUUAAGGUGUCCCGAUCUUCAUUUCAUUGAACUAGAGUGGUCAGCUGAUGCUUUAAGCCAAUCAGCAGCUCACUGGAGGUUGGUGUACCAACCACCAGGGCCACUAAGUUACCUAAUCUGCGCCUGUUUUACAGCCACAUUAUUUU
This is a non-coding RNA of Pelobates cultripes (western spadefoot toad), 375 nucleotides long. The record is from the annotation of a GenBank genome assembly. NCBI's taxonomy places the organism in Eukaryota, Metazoa, Chordata, Amphibia, Anura, Pelobatidae.